CAGUAGCCGCGGUAAUACGUAGGGUGCAAGCGUUAUCCGGAAUUAUUGGGCGUAAAGAGCUCGUAGGCGGUUUGUCGCGUCUGCUGUGAAAACUGGAGGCUCAACCUCCAGCCUGCAGUGGGUACGGGCAGACUAGAGUGCGGUAGGGGAGAUUGGAAUUCCUGGUGUAGCGGUGGAAUGCGCAGAUAUCAGGAGGAACACCGAUGGCGAAGGCAGAUCUCUGGGCCGUAACUGACGCUGAGGAGCGAAAGCGUGGGGAGCGAACAGGAUUAGAUACCCGCGUAGUCCCUGUCUCUUAUAC
RNAcentral lists this ribosomal RNA (301 nucleotides) under uncultured bacterium. Its description in RNAcentral is "partial 16S ribosomal RNA". It matches the Rfam family "Bacterial small subunit ribosomal RNA", at positions 509 to 807 of the family's 1533-position model. The record is from RNAcentral.